UUUUUUUUUGUUUUCUAGUGUUUCUUCUUUUGUUUCUUCUUUUGCUUCUUGUUCUUUAGAUGAUGAAUGGUAUGUUGCAUUUAUAUAGAAUUGUCUGAACAAAGUUGGAUAAAUAUUUGACAUUGUUCAAUGGAUAUUGAUCAAAUACCAAAAAGAUGGUGAAAGGUACAAGUAGCCUUUUGCUCUAGCAUGGCUCCCAGUUGAAAUUUAUGAGCUUUUUC
Molecule: long non-coding RNA, 221 nt
Filed under: Lathyrus oleraceus (garden pea)
Lineage: Eukaryota; Viridiplantae; Streptophyta; Magnoliopsida; Fabales; Fabaceae
Description: Pisum sativum (pea) long non-coding RNA (PSAT_LNC018071)
Source: RNAcentral